GCAGUCGAACGGGGAUGCAUUAAGAAGGAGUGCUAGCAUUCCGGAAGGAUGUCUCUUAGUGGCGGACGGGUGAGUAACGCGUGGGUAACCUGCCCCAUACCGGGGGAUACCACCUGGAGACAGGUGCUAAUACCGCAUAAGCGCACGGGAGCGCAUGCUCCUGUGUGAAAAACUCCGGUGGUAUGGGAUGGACCCGCGUCUGAUUAGCCAGUUGGCAGGGUAACGGCCUACCAAAGCGACGAUCAGUAGCCGGCCUGAGAGGGUGGACGGCCACAUUGGGACUGAGACACGGCCCAAACUCCUACGGGAGGCAGCAGUGGGGAAUAUUGCACAAUGGGGGAAACCCUGAUGCAGCGACGCCGCGUGAGUGAAGAAGUAUUUCGGUAUGUAAAGCUCUAUCAGCAGGAACGAGACAAGACGGUACCUGACUAAGAAGCCCCGGCUAACUACGUGCCAGCAGCCGCGGUAAUACGUAGGGGGCAAGCGUUAUCCGGAAUCACUGGGUGUAAAGGGAGCGUAGACGGCUGAGCAAGCCUGAAGUGAAAGGCGGGGGCCCAACCCCUGGACUGCUUUGGGAACUGUACGGCUGGAGUGCAGGAGAGGUAAGUGGAAUUCCUAGUGUAG
Molecule: ribosomal RNA, 624 nt
Filed under: uncultured bacterium
Lineage: Bacteria
Description: bacterial SSU rRNA
Rfam family: Bacterial small subunit ribosomal RNA
Source: RNAcentral